CAUUAAGAAGCUAUGAAUCAGCGUUAGCCUUUUAAGCUAAAGAAAGAGGCAAAAGGCCUCCUUAAUGG
RNAcentral lists this transfer RNA (68 nucleotides) under Melanocharis nigra (Black berrypecker). RNAcentral describes it as "tRNA-Lys". The record is from RNAcentral. Lineage: Eukaryota; Metazoa; Chordata; Aves; Passeriformes; Melanocharitidae.